This 598-nucleotide ribosomal RNA is filed under the name Dicranota sp. CAK225. Its description in RNAcentral is "SSU rRNA". It matches the Rfam family "Eukaryotic small subunit ribosomal RNA", at positions 622 to 1144 of the family's 1831-position model. The record is from RNAcentral. Lineage: Eukaryota; Metazoa; Arthropoda; Insecta; Diptera; Pediciidae.
AAACGUUCGUAGUUGAACUUUUGUCUGGCUCAAUUUAUUUUAUUUCGAUAAAAUUUAAAUUGUUCAAGCUAUGACGUUUUUACUGACCGAAAGAACUCGAAAAAAAUUUAUUAAUUUAUUUUUUUAGUAGAGGUCUUUCAAUAUAUUAAAUUAUGUUCCUAUAUGUUUGAUCUUGAUCGAUUGUGACAUUAGGACCAGUACUAUUUACUUUGAACAAAUUAUAGUGCUCAAAGCAGGCCUAACACAGCCUAAGUAUUUUUGCAUGGAAUAAUGGAAUAAGAUGUCAAUUUUAUUUUGUUUGGUUUGUAAAAUAAAGACAUAAUGAUUAAUAGAAGUAGUUGGGGACAUUAGUAUUACUUGGCGAGAGGUGAAAUUCUUAGACCCUUGUAAGACUUACAUAAGCGAAAGCAUUUGUCAAAGAUGCUUUCUUUAAUCAAGAACGAAAGUUAGGGGAUCGAAGGCGAUCAGAUACCGCCCUAGUCCUAACCAUAAACUAUGUCAACCAGCAAUUAGAUGUAGCUACUACUAUGGCUCUUCUAGGCGCUUCCAGGAAACAUUAAGUUGAUUCCGGGGGAAGUAUGGUUGCAAAAAUGAAACU